UCCCUUUAUUUUAUUUUUAUUUAUGUUAUUUUUAAUAAUUAGAUUUGUGAAAAUAAAAUUCAUUGUAACUAAUAUAAAAUAUAAAAUCUGUAAGACCCAAAUUUUAUUCGGGCCUAAAAUAAACAAUCCAACAAACACAAAAAAAAAACCACUUACAAAACAAGCCCAAACCAAGCCCAAUCUAACCCUAGCCCAAAGUUAACAGAAAAAAACAAAAAUACCAAAACCCUAGGUGUGCCGCACCUAGGGUCUUCUGACCAGCAGCCUCAGCACAGCCUCUGCUGCCACCCACGUGCUGUCUGACACCCUUCAACCACCAUCUGCAAAGAAGAACAGGAAAGAGACAGAAGCCAUGUGCAGGAACAGUAACAAAGAAGCAAAAACGCAAUAGCAAUGAACCAUAAUCAACAGUAGCAAAUAGGCAGUGAAUCGGCUAUAAAGCCACCAAAACAAACGAUUGUAAGGGGUGAUUUUUGAAUACAAAAAAAUACUGUAUUACACGCAUAUUUCAGAAAUCAAAAGAAAAAAAAAGGGUUGAUUUUGAUUUUCUCUUCUUUUUCUUUUCGUUUUCCCUUUUCUUUUUUUUAUAUUAUUACAAAUCUAUUUUCAAGCAAAAUGAUAAAAUAAAAAAAAAGAGGAGAGAAAACUUACCCGAGUCCGAUCUUGCGUGACUCCGACCACUGUCCACGGUGGAGCCAAGGCUGUUCGGCGAUGGUGCGAUGAUGGGUUUUCAAAACCCUAGCAGAAAAGGAAAAAUGAAAAAGGAAGGGGAGGGGCUACUCUCUGUUUUUAGAAAAAAAGAAAGGAAGAAAUGAAAAAAAAAUUAAAAAAAAUUUGGCUUUAACAGCCCUGCAAAACGACCAUGUUUUGCUUCCCCCCCCAUACGCCUUAAAACGGCGUCGUUUAGGGGGGAACCCGCGCGACCCGACCCAGGUAGUGGAGGAUUCGCGUGUUUUCAGACGUAUGGGCUAUUUACGCCCUUAGUCCUUCCACCUUUGGGGACGUUUCAAAUGGGAUCCUUUCUGUUAUUUCCAUUUCAGCCUUAAAAUUUUAUUUCAGUUUCAAUUUAGUCCCCCAAUUUAGCCCAUACACGCUGCGCACAAGGGACCAAGGAUAUUUUCCCUUUUGGUCGCUAUUAGUUUUUGCGCAUUACGUUUUAAUCCUCCACUUUGUUUUUCAUUUCCGAUUUCCCCCUUUAAAAUUUGUUUAGCUUCCAAUUGUGGUCCUUAUUACAUAAUUUCAACUUUUACUAUUAUUUUUCCUUUUAUAGAUAUUUUAUUUUAUUUGUUUUGUUUAUAUAUUUUAUUUUUGUUUACUGAUUUAGGUAUUUAGUUAUUAUUCUUUGGUUCUUUAAUAUUUAAUAUUGUCUUUAAUUUUUUUAUCAUAUUUUUUUAUAUUUUUCUUAUAUUUUAUCUCCUCUUUUAUGUUUUUAUUUAUUUCUUAUUGUCAUAAUUAUUGUUAUUUAUUUACAUACCUCUUCAUUGCCAUUUUAUUACUACUACCUUUAUUAUUGAUAUUAUUAUUAUUACAAUUAAUUAUUAUUAUUAUCAUUUCUUAAUUGUUUUAUUUAAUAUUUCUUUAUCCUUCUAUCUAUUUGCUUAUUUUCAACUUUUUACUUGCUUUUUUUAACUGGUCUGUCUUUUUUAUUUCAUUUAUUAUUUAUCCUUUUUUAUUUCUUGCUCUUAUUGUUGUAAUUUAUAUUAUCGCAUUCGCUAUUAUUCUAUUAUGCAUAUUAAUAUCGUUUUUAUCAAGCAUAUUAUGCCAUUAUUACUACGAAUUUGCGUUGCAUUAAUAUUUACCCACUACAUAAAAUGUCGUGUUUUAAAUACGCAAUAUUUUCGCAUUUCGGAAAUUCAAGAAAUCUUACCCUCACUUAUAAGGUUUUGAUUUUAUCGUUAAACCCAGAUAGCAAAAUAUCUCUUCAAAAUUUAAAAUAUAUGAAUUUUAAAUUAUAAUAAAGAUAACAUUCCGUGUUCGGAGAUUUUAGAGAUCGUGUCCUAAUGUGUUGGAUUUCUAUUUUUUUCGUUUGACCCAAAUGACCGAAUCACCUUUUGAAAUUAAAACGCAUGGGUUUUGAAAAUCAAAAGACAAGCUUAUUCUCGAGGUUUUAAAAUGUUGUGUCUUAACGUACUGGAUGUGACAUUUUAUUACUUCGGAACAAGAAGGUCUUUAACAUUUGUUUCGAUUUACGCAAGUAAAUUCUUCGUAAAAAAUCAACAUUAAAAAAGAGAAGAUCGUUUUUUUAAAUCUUUUCGAGUUUUUAAAUUUCAACAUUAAGACAUUAAUUAAUCAAUUAGGUACCAAUCUUGGGAGUUACAAGGGUGCUAAUUCUUCCUCGUACGUAACCGACUCCAAAAUAUGUUUUCUCAAAUUUUGUAGACCAAAAUCGCUGUUUUAGUAAUACCAAAAUAUUUUAUUAAAACAAUUAAAUUACGAGGUAAUCUGACUGCACUUAAAUAAAAAAAAGAUUGGUGGCGAUUCUUAUUUUUUAUUUUCACUUUUAAAAUAAAAGUCGACUCAUUUUUUUCAAAAAAAAUGGUUUCAACAAAAUCCGUGGAUAUUAAUAUUUCUCUUAAAUGAAUUUUGGGAAGGAACCAUUUUAAUUGUAGGAUAUUGUUUACACUCCAUGAUCCUAUUCUUAGGCGGUAGUGAUCCUCUGCGGUUGAUUCUGUCUAGUAUAUUCUUAGGAUGUUGGCUAUUCAUUAGUCUAUGUAGGUUCUAUAUAAAGGGAUGUUGUGCACGUUGUAACUCGUAAAAAAUCAAAUUUAUAUUUAUUCUUUUUUUCAACCUACUUGUUUUCUGUCAAUUAAAAUUCUAACACUUCAAAUAUCAGAGUUCAAAUUUCAUAAAUGAUAUCUUCUUUUCAAAAACUUGCAAUUUGAAAGAAAACAAAAACAAAUUUUAAACUUGCAUGGGUGCCUAAUUCUAGAAAACUGUUAUUGAUGAAUUAUUAGAAGAAAAGAAUUUGAAACUAAAGGGUUUAAUGUCCAUAAAAACACUAAUUAUAAACUUUAUUAACAUUUCCAAAUUAUAUAGUGUUGGAGUAAUCAAAUGAAAAGUUAUAUCAAUUGAUUAUUAAUUAGAAUUUGUCACUAUUUAUAGUGAUGAGUUAUGCUUCUUAAAUUCUAAAGUUUUGUCACUUGAUUAUUAACAAAUAGUUAUAAUUAUUCAGGUAGAUAUCUAUCAGAUAAUUAUGUUUAUUACUAAAGAUAUGACUAUCCAUUUAGGUAGUUAUGUCUUUAUGAUGUAGAUAUCUAUAUUUCAUUUACAUGACACGCCAAACAACAUAGAAACUUUGUUUUUAUAUUUUCAUCAGUAUAAAAUGUAGACAAUUAUUAAGCUUCAUUGUAUCCUUAAGGUUCAUCUACUAUUAAUCUUUUCGCACACUAUAAUAUAAGUGGGGGUGAACAGAACUUUAAAGAAAGUGGCAUUGCCUUGAAGCUUUCAUUAAUUUCUUAUAAAUUCAUUUUAUCCCCCCACCAACAAUUUUAAGGUUCUAUUUUCGUAAUUUAUGAUAAAUUAAAGAAGGUAUGGCUAUUCACUAUGCAUUCACAUGCCACUACAAUCAUGGUACUAUGAGGAUGACUUCAGAAAGGGGAUAACAUUGAGGUUAGUGAUUUAAUUAUUGGCUUAGAAGAAAUAUUUGUAGCAAUAACAACAGAUACGUCAAUUUUUGGUUUACUAUUAUUGCAUGAAUUGAAUUUCAUGGUUAUGUUCUAUCGAGAUUAGUUAUAUUAUGCAAAAAGUAUAAGUGUCUCAUGGAUUAGUUUUUGAUAAAGUCAAAUGCUAAUUUAUUAUAUACAUGAUAUACAUGCAUAGUUAUGACUGGUACAUAAUUAUGUAAUAUAUAUGAUAUGCAUAUAUUUUUACAAUCAUGAAAGGAGAAAGAAAAGGAGUUAAUGAAAUUUUUAAGCAAUGCAAGGAAAUAAUGUUUCGGUUGGCCCCUUAAACCGAAAACAUAUGUUUGUUCAAUGAUUUCAAAUCAUGAUAACCAUGUAUAUUUAGUAAACUUCCAACCAUGAAAAUUUAUGAUUUUUCAAAAAGACAAUUCUAUACUUAUUUAUACAUUAUAUGUAGAUGUUUGGUUGGAGUUGAAUUAAAUUAAUUCACUCCAUUUAAUUUGUGAGUGAAAUUUUUAGUGCAAAAUUAUUUUUUUGUGAUAUAUAUUUAAUUUGAUAUAUGAAUUUAUUUGUUUAUUUAAAUCAUGAUAUUAGUAACUAGCAUUUAAAUGAUAUUGAUGAGCCAUCAUUUUCAUUUCUAAAAUGAAAGUUUGUAAAUGAUCAUUAUAAUAUAAAUAAUUUUUGUUGUUGUUUUUGUUAAAUAACCUUAAGCUAAAUGGGCUUCAUAUAUGAUUGCACCUUUUUUAUUUUAUGUAAUCAGGUUUGAAAUAGAAGUGGUUUUGACUAGAAAUGAAAUAAGUUAUAUGCAUGGUUAAUUUUUCUAGUCAACGUAGAAUAGUAAAAAGCAUUGACCUAUAUAAUAAGAUCAAUAUUCUGGUAUGAAAUCUCCUAGUGAGAAUAUAUAACGUGAUAAUCAUAUAUUUGAAAUCAAGAUGAUAUUGUACAUAUUCACGAUAGUACAUGUGGUUUUUUUAUAUACGGUUUGAUUAUGAUCUACAAUCUCGUGGUUCUAUACAAUUUUGAGAUGUAAUACUCAACUCAAUGCUUAGUAUAACGUUUAAGUCUUGAGUUCAAUGAGAUAAAGUACAACAUCAAUAUGUGACUAUUAGCACUAUAAAAUAAUAUAUAUAAUAUAUCAUCCCAAGGUAAAAAGUGUUAGGUACUCGUAAUGAUAAGGGGAAGGAUGAGUAUUACACUCUUAAGACCCAUAACAUAAAUAUGUUAGUGUUAUAAUUACAAGAGCACUAUUGAUGGGAUCUACCUAUGUGAGUGGAAGUGUGGCUGAUUCUAGGAGCUUAGGGUUUAGCUUUGACAACACUCAUUAAAAAGAGGUUACAAACACAUUACCAUAAUAGUGUCAUUGGAUGCUAUGCAUUAAUUGGCAUUGAAAUCACUGUGUGAGAUGUGUUCGGUUAACCAAAUUGAAUAGUUGGUCCAAAGCAUAGUUUACUAUGCAAUUUUGAUUAACUUUAACAUGUUUUCACUAAGUGAAGGUUCAAUCGUAAGACACCUUACACAAUUGAUUUCCAAAUUUAUCAAAAUCUAGAAUAUGUUGAAAAUGGGAGAGGAUUGUUAGAACAUUUCCAAAAUAUAUAGUGUUCCAGUAGUUGCAAAUGAAAAUUUAUAAGUAACCAAAGUUAUGUCACUUGGUUAUUAACCAAAAGUUGUCACUAUUUACAGUGAUGAGUUAUAUCUCUUAAAUCCAAAAAUUAUGUCACUUGAUUAUUAACAAAUAAUUAUAAUUAUUCAAGUAGAUAUCUAUUGAACAAUUAUGUUAUUGUUAAAGAUGUAGUUAUAUCCCUAUAAAGAGACAUGAGACCUUUUGUAAAUAGGACUUGUAAAUAGGAAUGGAAUUUCAUUUGCGUGACACACCAAAAAACAUAGAAACAAAGUUUCUUUUUAUUCUUCCACCAUCUUUCAUAUUACUAGAUUGUUCUAUAGAGAAUUAUUGUAGAUUUUUUUUUAUAGAAAUUGAUAUUAUUGUUAUGCUCCACUUAAUGCUCAGUUGAUUAUUUCUGUCGAUGCAAAACGUAAAUAGUCAUUGGGCUAUUGUAUCCUCAAGGUUCAUUUGCCACUAACUCUUUUACAUACCAUAAUAUAGGUGGGGCGAAUAGUGUUGGAAAAAAUUUGGUUCGAAAAUGCUUUUCUUACAUAGUGAAAAAUUAAAAUUUUGAAAGUCGAGUUAGUUUGUGAUAUUUAUAGCAAUAAACUUUAUCUGAAAUCGCACCUAUGUUUUUUGGCUAGACAGAUCCUUGUCAUUCCCGACUUUCAACUAAACGACCUUCUCUUUUAUUCUCGUACCACGAAUUGCUUUGAUUGUGGGCUCAAACAAAUUCAAAUCAAACACAAUGCAACACCCUAACCCGUAUUCGUCGCCGAUUAGGGUCACAAGACAUUACUAAACAAAAGCACAGUUCCGAACAUUUACAUAUUCACACAAAUCAUAAUCGUAUAUAUAUAUAAAGCAUGUAGCUAAUUAAAUAUUAAAAAUACAUUAUUAAUUAUAUUGCAAACACGAAUUGUACCUCAAGAUUCAAUCAAAUUCAUACCAUUUCCAUCUCCCAAACUUAAAUUUAACAUAUACUGAGCAUAUAUCAUAAAUUCAAAUUUGAUUCAUAUAUUUUAUUAUUAUUUUUAUUUUAUAUUCGAAGCAACUAGCUUGCCACAAGUCAUGUUAUACACGCUUUAUAAUUCUACUAUUCUAACCAUACAUAUAUCUCAUUUAUAGCUUCUCUACUUAACAAAUUAUAAGGAAACUUAUUACUCCACAAUUCCAUGCACAUACAUUGAUACAUCCAAACAUGAAAUUUUAGCAACCAUUACUAAAUGGUCAAGUUAUUCCACAUGAAUUAAUAGACAAAAUUAUACAAGUACAUACAAGCAUUACCAAAUGAUCGAAUCUCAAUCGUAUUUAUAACUAAUUCAUG
This 6547-nucleotide long non-coding RNA is filed under the name Gossypium barbadense (sea-island cotton). RNAcentral describes it as "long non-coding RNA (GBAR_LNC008311)". The record is from RNAcentral. Lineage: Eukaryota; Viridiplantae; Streptophyta; Magnoliopsida; Malvales; Malvaceae.